GUGGGGAAUAUUGCGCAAUGGGGGAAACCCUGACGCAGCGACGCCGCGUGAGCGAAGAAGGCCUUAGGGUUGUAAAGCUCUGUUUUAAGGGACGAAUGUCGUGGGGAGUAAUAUGCUCUGCGAAUGACGGUACCUUAAGAGGAAGCCCCGGCUAACUACGUGCCAGCAGCCGCGGUAAGACGUAGGGGGCGAGCGUUGUCCGGAAUUACUGGGCGUAAAGAGCACGUAGGCGGGAACUUAAGUCAGGUGUGAAAGACCGGGGCUCAACUCCGGGGUUGCACUUGAAACUGGGUUUCUUGAGGGCAGGAGAGGAAAGCAGAAUUCCUGGUGUAGCGGUGAAAUGCGUAGAAAUCAGGAGGAAUACCAGUGGCGAAGGCGGCUUUCUGGACUGACCCUGACGCUGAGGUGCGAAAGCGUGGGUAGCAAACAGGAUUAGAAACCCGAGUAGUCC
RNAcentral lists this ribosomal RNA (451 nucleotides) under uncultured bacterium. RNAcentral's name for it is "partial 16S ribosomal RNA". It matches the Rfam family "Bacterial small subunit ribosomal RNA", at positions 354 to 796 of the family's 1533-position model. The record is from RNAcentral.